This 172-nucleotide ribosomal RNA is filed under the name Kniphofia thomsonii. RNAcentral's name for it is "5.8S ribosomal RNA". The stretch from base 1 to 105 matches the Rfam family "5.8S ribosomal RNA", at positions 52 to 154 of the family's 154-position model. Rfam says of the family: 5.8S ribosomal RNA (5.8S rRNA) is a component of the large subunit of the eukaryotic ribosome. It is transcribed by RNA polymerase I as part of the 45S precursor that also contains 18S and 28S rRNA. The record is from RNAcentral. Lineage: Eukaryota; Viridiplantae; Streptophyta; Magnoliopsida; Asparagales; Asphodelaceae.
AAUGCGAUACUUGGUGUGAAUUGCAGAAUCCCGUGAACCAUCGAGUCUUUGAACGCAAGUUGCGCCCGAAGCCACUCGGCUGAGGGCACGCCUGCCUGGGCGUCACGCCUCACGUCGCUCCGCGCAGCCCGCCACUGGCACAAUGUGCUUGUCGGCGUCUCGCGUCGGAUGC